ACCGUACUCCUACGGGAGGCAGCAGUGGGGAAUAUUGGACAAUGGGGGCAACCCUGAUCCAGCCAUGCCGCGUGAGUGAUGAAGGCCCUAGGGUUGUAAAGCUCUUUCGACGGGGACGAUAAUGACGGUACCCGUAGAAGAAGCCCCGGCUAACUUCGUGCCAGCAGCCGCGGUAAUACGAAGGGGGCUAGCGUUGCUCGGAAUCACUGGGCGUAAAGCGCACGUAGGCGGAUCUUUAAGUCAGGGGUGAAAUCCCAAGGCUCAACCUUGGAACUGCCUUUGAUACUGGGGAUCUCGAGUCCGGAAGAGGUGAGUGGAACUGCGAGUGUAGAGGUGAAAUUCGUAGAUAUUCGCAAGAACACCAGUGGCGAAGGCGGCUCACUGGUCCGGUACUGACGCUGAGGUGCGAAAGCGUGGGGAGCAAACAGGAUUAGAUACCCGAGUAGUCCUUGAC
RNAcentral lists this ribosomal RNA (454 nucleotides) under uncultured bacterium. Its description in RNAcentral is "bacterial SSU rRNA". It matches the Rfam family "Bacterial small subunit ribosomal RNA", at positions 330 to 801 of the family's 1533-position model. The record is from RNAcentral.